AUGGCCCUCUCCGCGGUCGGCGACUGCGUGGUGCCGUCGCUGGCCCCGCCGUCCCCUCCCCGACGCCUCGUCAAGGCCGACCCGCAGCCGCAGCCGCAGGCGGGCUCCAUCGCGAGCUUCUGCUGGACGGGAGUGGUGCGCGAGUGGGUGUCCGCGCCACUGGUUUGGAUGGAGGUGACCCCGGCGCAGGAAGCGGCCUACCUCGAGCACUGGCGCCAGCGACGGCUGGCCGAGGAGCGGCCUCAAGGCGAGUACGAGGAGAUGCUCGAGGGUGACCUCGAGGAGGAGGCGCGCGAGGCUGUGGAGGAGGCGCGCCAGACCGCGGUUACACAGGCGGCGACACAGCCCCCCGCGCCGGCACUACCCCCGCCGGAAUAG
Molecule: ribosomal RNA, 378 nt
Filed under: Triticum aestivum (bread wheat)
Lineage: Eukaryota; Viridiplantae; Streptophyta; Magnoliopsida; Poales; Poaceae
Description: partial small subunit ribosomal RNA
Source: RNAcentral